RNAcentral lists this ribosomal RNA (830 nucleotides) under uncultured bacterium. RNAcentral describes it as "bacterial SSU rRNA". It matches the Rfam family "Bacterial small subunit ribosomal RNA", at positions 51 to 894 of the family's 1533-position model. The record is from RNAcentral.
ACACAUGCAAGUCGAACGAGAGAUGAGGAGCUUGCUCUUCAAAUCGAGUGGCGAACGGGUGAGUAACGCGUGAGGAACCUGCCUCAAAGAGGGGGACAACAGUUGGAAACGACUGCUAAUACCGCAUAAGCCCACGGCUCGGCAUCGAGCAGAGGGAAAAGGAGCAAUCCGCUUUGAGAUGGCCUCGCGUCCGAUUAGCUAGUUGGUGAGGUAACGGCCCACCAAGGCGACGAUCGGUAGCCGGACUGAGAGGUUGAACGGCCACAUUGGGACUGAGGCACGGCCCAGACUCCUACGGGAGGCAGCAGUGGGGAAUAUUGCACAAUGGGGGAAACCCUGAUGCAGCGACGCCGCGUGGAGGAAGAAGGUCUUCGGAUUGUAAACUCCUGUUGUUGAGGAAGAUAAUGACGGUACUCAACAAGGAAGUGACGGCUAACUACGUGCCAGCAGCCGCGGUAAAACGUAGGUCACAAGCGUUGUCCGGAAUUACUGGGUGUAAAGGGAGCGCAGGCGGGAGAACAAGUUGGAAGUGAAAUCCAUGGGCUCAACCCAUGAACUGCUUUCAAAACUGUUUUUCUUGAGUAGUGCAGAGGUAGGCGGAAUUCCCGGUGUAGCGGUGGAAUGCGUAGAUAUCGGGAGGAACACCAGUGGCGAAGGCGGCCUACUGGGCACCAACUGACGCUGAGGCUCGAAAGUGUGGGUAGCAAACAGGAUUAGAUACCCUGGUAGUCCACACCGUAAACGAUGAUUACUAGGUGUUGGAGGAUUGACCCCUUCAGUGCCGCAGUUAACACAAUAAGUAAUCCACCUGGGGAGUACGACCGCAAGGU